CCACGCAAAUUUCUCUUACAUUUUAUCAUAUAUUUCUCCACAUGAGAAUAUUCAGAGGGCAAAUAUUUUUCCCUCUAAAAAUAUAGAAAGAUUUCUAUCAAAUUAUACUAUCCUUUUGACUCUCCUUGCUACAGUUUUUGAGUUAUGAGUCAUUAAUUUUGUGUAUGUCAAAGCAAAAACAAUACCUUCACUGAGGUGAAGCCUCAGGGCUUAAAGGGUUCAAACUGUCUAUAAUCAGAGUAAAUUGGUAAUAGGUGAGGGUAUCAGGUUUGACUCAUCAGAAAGCUAUACAUCAAUUCUGUGCAGUGAUGCCUUGGAUUCUGUCAGAUAGUCAGAGACAAUGGAAAUGUGUGAUGUGGUCAGAUGAGUCCAGUGGGAAAAACAGAUGAGUUCUCAGUCCCAAAGACCAAUGAGCAAUCCAGAAUUUUACCAGUGAUAGAUGCAAAAGCAAACAUUUGUUAUUGGAUGUCAUUGGUAUUGUACAGAGACAUAUACUGCCAUCAAGAUGACAUCUUUCAAGAGAAGUCUAUGGUUAUUAGAAGAAGAAAACGCCAGCUCUCAUUCUGUCCUUCUCUCAUUCAUGUGCUACAACAGCAUGGUUUCGUAGAGACAGAGUGAAUGUGCUAGAUCAGUCCAGAUCUGUCUCCUAUAUUGAACACGUAUGACCCAUCAUGAAAAGGACAUCCAGGCAAUGAUGACCACAGACUAGGCAGCUGAAGUCUUGUAAAACAAACUAUUAGUAUCUUCGAUUUACAAACAAUUAAACAUUGUAAUUUAAAAGAGAGUUGCUGGGACACAGUGUUAAACAUGUCUCUGUCCCAGUUAUCUUAUAUUUACAGAUUACCAAUUAUUUGGUCAGUGAAAACAUUGAAAAUCUUUUCUUUGCACUUUUGCCAUUCAAAUAAACAAUAUAAUUACUAUUUUAUUAUAAGAUCUUGAUUUUAUUGCAUUUAAAAAAAUAUUUUUCUGAUUUGGGGUUGUAUUCAAUCCUAUGUUGAUGUUUUAUGUCUUAUUGAUGUCUAGAAAAGUUCAUGUAGCCUAAUGAUAAAUAUAAAAUUCAAAGAUUUCUAUGUACUGUAAUUAUAUAAAACUAUACUGUCAGCGCACCAUAGUUAUGCAAAUGAAGUAGAUCAUCGCGUUUGUUUCAAUUCAUAAGGAUUAAAACUUCUCGAAGCAUUUUUGGGUUAAAAUCAUACUGUAUAAAAACAGGUUAAAAUCAAUCCCAUGGCGCCAUCUAGUGGACAACAUUAAUAUCACAGCCUGAGCGUCCCAAAUAUUAUAAAUUAAUAAACCUAAGCAUGUUUGCCUAGAACGACUUUGUUCUUGACGCAAUUUAAUGUUAAAGAUUGAAUGUCUAAUGAAUAUCUAAUAUAAAUACAACUUUAUUUCUGUUAAAAUUACACUCUUCUAUGUCAAGAUCACAAGGAAACAAGAAAGAAAUGUAAUUCAAGCAGUCGCCGUAGCGAGUUUUUUUUUUUUUUUUUUUUUGCCACACCUCAGCAUGACAUCAGAGCAAUUUUCAAACCUUAACCGGCGUGGAUCUCCCGGCGAUCGGUUCUGCGCAUAUUUUACUAAUCUCAAACAAGCAUAAAUUAACGUUAACUAGUGAUUUGAACCAGAUAAUUUAAUCAAAAUGUCCGAAAGAACCAGUUAACGGAAAAUAAUCGGAUUUCACCGUUGCCUUGUUUACAGGUAACGUUAACGUUAAUAAUGUUGUAAAUAGCGUUCAGUUAUAUACACAGAUCGAUGGUGUAGCUUCAUAAGACCUCGAGUCGAUAUAUUGUUAGGAGAAAUAUGGAAAAAAAAGUCACCUACAUCUUGGAUGGCUUGAGGGUCCCACUGUGUGAUGCUCCAUGUGACCGUGGUGACUCCGUGUCUGGGCUUCUUUCUUCUGGAUUCCUCAGGAACAGAUGUCCACAUGUAUUUGAGGAGCGAACCUUCUGCAGGUUGUGGAGAAGCUCUCCGUGAU
This is a long non-coding RNA of Carassius auratus (goldfish), 1969 nucleotides long. RefSeq lists it as uncharacterized. The transcript is spliced from 3 exons. NCBI's taxonomy places the organism in Eukaryota, Metazoa, Chordata, Actinopteri, Cypriniformes, Cyprinidae. The record is from RefSeq and is a predicted model, not a curated record.